Molecule: ribosomal RNA, 273 nt
Filed under: uncultured bacterium
Lineage: Bacteria
Description: partial 16S ribosomal RNA
Rfam family: Bacterial small subunit ribosomal RNA
Source: RNAcentral
AUACGGAGGGUCCAAGCGUUAUCCGGAAUCAUUGGGUUUAAAGGGUCCGCAGGCGGUCAAUUAAGUCAGAGGUGAAAGCCCAUCGCUCAACGAUGGAACUGCCUUUGAUACUGGUUGACUUGAGUUAUACGGAAGUAGAUAGAAUAAGUAGUGUAGCGGUGAAAUGCAUAGAUAUUACUUAGAAUACCGAUUGCGAAGGCAGUCUACUACGUAUAUACUGACGCUGAGGGACGAAAGCGUGGGGAGCGAACAGGAUUAGAAACCCUUGAGUCC